This 570-nucleotide ribosomal RNA is filed under the name endosymbiont of Camponotus vagus. RNAcentral describes it as "bacterial SSU rRNA". It matches the Rfam family "Bacterial small subunit ribosomal RNA", at positions 812 to 1380 of the family's 1533-position model. Lineage: Bacteria; Pseudomonadati; Pseudomonadota; Gammaproteobacteria; Enterobacterales; Enterobacteriaceae. The record is from RNAcentral.
UCGAUUUGAAGGUUGUAGACUUUGAGCUGUGACUUUCGUAGCUAACGCGUUAAAUCGACCGCCUGGGGAGUACGACCGCAAGGUUAAAACUCAAAUGAAUUGACGGGGGCCCGCACAAGCGGUGGAGCAUGUGGUUUAAUUCGAUGCAACACGAAGAACCUUACCUACUCUUGACAUCCAAAGAAUCUUAUAGAAAUAUGAGAGUGCCUUCGGGAACUUUGAGACAGGUGCUGCAUGGCUGUCGUCAGCUCGUGUUGUGAAAUGUUGGGUUAAGUCCCGCAACGAGCGCAACCCUUAUCCUUUGUUGCCAACGAGUAAAGUCGGGAACUCAAAGGAGACUGCCGGUGAUAAACCGGAGGAAGGUGAGGAUGACGUCAAGUCAUCAUGGCCCUUAUGAGUAGGGCUACAAACGUGCUACAAUGGCGCAUACAAAGAGAAGCGAUCUCGUGAGAGCAAGCAAACCUCAUAAAGUGCGUCUUAGUCCGGAUUGGAGUCUGCAACUCGACUCCAUGAAGUCGGAAUCGCUAGUAAUCGUGGAUCAGAAUGUCACGGUGAAUACGUUCCCGGGCC